Oreochromis aureus is the source of this 1165-nucleotide long non-coding RNA. RefSeq lists it as uncharacterized. The record is from RefSeq and is a predicted model, not a curated record. The transcript is spliced from 3 exons. Lineage: Eukaryota; Metazoa; Chordata; Actinopteri; Cichliformes; Cichlidae.
UUGCACUUUUGCUGUAACAAAACAAAUUUCCCACCUGUGGGACUAAUAAAGGCCAUCUUAUCUUAUCUUAUCUUAUCUUAUUAAGGUUAUUUACAGUAACUUACUGUAUUUUUUAAAAUUGCGGUAGUAGUUAUACCUACCGUUAACACAUUAGCAGUAGUGCUACUGUAUUAUGUGAUUUGAAUGGUUCAUCAUACUGUUUGUGUAUUUUUACUCUUUCAGUGGUUGGUUGCAAUAGUGCAUUACAUUUUAACUCUUUCACUGCUAACCAUUUCCAGAUUUUCCUCCAACCUAUGCCAUUUGUCAGUAUGAUACCAGUGAAAGUAUUAUGGUUUUGACUUUUUAGGGGACUUGCCUGUGUGUAAGGUCUCCUUGUAGGGAAAUUUUAUAAAGCAAGGUUCUCCAAAUCUCUCCCAAAAUUCUGUGUUUUCUUAAUUGACUUCCAUUCCUAUGUAAAGACUAUAAGGUUAAGUACAAAUAAAAAAAAGCAGAAUUCACAUUGUUGCAUCUCCAUCACUUAUCUCUGAUUAACCCUGAACAAGAUUCACACUUCCUUUUGUUAAUUUUUUUACUUGCCACUAUUCUGUUGUUGGAUUUCACUUAGGCUGUUGCUGCUGUCUGUUUUUGUGUAAUUUUGUACUUGUGACAAGUAGUGAAUAAAGUUAUUUAAAAAAGACGCAGAAAGGCGAACUUCAGUCAGUGGAGAAUAUUGUAAUAAUUUGGCGGAGGCUUCUCAGUGGAGCAGUAACUGAAUUGCUCAUUUACUGAACGUGCAACAUGUACAGAACUCUUCUGGGAACUAGUCAACCCAACUUAGUGAAACACACACUGAAUGCAUGCUGGCCCCGCCCACGUACCUCUACCAACCACCACUCCAUAUCCUGACUGACAUGACCUGUGAUCCAGUGAUUGACAGGAGAGGAAAGACAGGCCAACUUUGUUAGCUCUUCGUUAGGAUAUGCUCGAGAGGACAAAAGAUUUUGCACCUCGUUAUUGUUGGACCUCUGUGUGGAAACUGCAAACAGGACGCCAUAAGUGUGGUGUAUAGCUGUCCUCCUGCCCUUGCUGGCCGCGCUGACAGUGUGAUGUAGCCUCAGUUCUUUGAGAGACAAGACAAAACAGCAGGGAAUAAUUUCAUGUCUGCAAGCCGCUGGAUGAUCAGUUU